GCAAAACGCGAAGAACCUUACCUAGGCUUGAACUCCUACGAACCUAUUGUAAUGGACGGGGUGCCCGCAAGGGAAUGUAGUGAGAGGUGCUGCAUGGCUGUCGUCAGCUCGUGUUGUGAAAUGUUGGGUUAAGUCUCGCAACGAGCGCAACCCCUAUCGUCUGUUGCCAGCAUUUAGUUGGGCACUCUGACGAGACUGCCUGGGUUAACCAGGAGGAAGGUGGGGAUGACGUCAAGUCCUCAUGGCCCUUAUGUCUAGGGCUACACACGUAAUACAAUGGCGCGUACAAUGGGAAGCGAACUAGUGAUAGGGAGCAAAUCUCAAAAAGUGCGCCUCAGUUCGGAUUGGAGUCUGCAACUCGACUCCAUGAAGUUGGAAUCGCUAGUAAUCGGAGAUCAGCACGCUCCGGUGAAUACGUUCCCGGGUCUUGUACACACCG
This 439-nucleotide ribosomal RNA is filed under the name uncultured bacterium. RNAcentral's name for it is "bacterial SSU rRNA". It matches the Rfam family "Bacterial small subunit ribosomal RNA", at positions 954 to 1392 of the family's 1533-position model. The record is from RNAcentral.